GACGAACGCUGGCGGCGUGCCUAAUACAUGCAAGUCGAGCGGACGGAUGGGAGCUUGCUCCCAGACCGUCAGCAGCGGACGGGUGAGUAACACGUGGGCAACCUGCCUGUAAGACUGGGAUAACUCCGGGAAACCGGGGCUAAUACCGGAUAACUCUUUCCCUCACAUGAGGGAAAGCUGAAAGAUGGCAUCUCGCUAUCACUUACAGAUGGGCCCGCGGCGCAUUAGCUAGUUGGUGAGGUAACGGCUCACCAAGGCGACGAUGCGUAGCCGACCUGAGAGGGUGAUCGGCCACACUGGGACUGAGACACGGCCCAGACUCCUACGGGAGGCAGCAGUAGGGAAUCUUCCGCAAUGGACGAAAGUCUGACGGAGCAACGCCGCGUGAGUGAUGAAGGUUUUCGGAUCGUAAAACUCUGUUGUCAGGGAAGAACAAGUACCGGAGUAACUGCCGGUACCUUGAGGGUACCUGACCAGAAAGCCACGGCUAACUACGUG
This 498-nucleotide ribosomal RNA is filed under the name uncultured bacterium. RNAcentral describes it as "partial 16S ribosomal RNA". It matches the Rfam family "Bacterial small subunit ribosomal RNA", at positions 28 to 507 of the family's 1533-position model. The record is from RNAcentral.